Molecule: ribosomal RNA, 408 nt
Filed under: uncultured bacterium
Lineage: Bacteria
Description: bacterial SSU rRNA
Rfam family: Bacterial small subunit ribosomal RNA
Source: RNAcentral
AUUGAACGCUGGCGGAAUGCUUUACACAUGCAAGUCGAACGGCAGCACGGGGGCAACCCUGGUGGCGAGUGGCGAACGGGUGAGUAAUACAUCGGAACGUGCCCAAUCGUGGGGGAUAACUACGCGAAAGCGUAGCUAAUACCGCAUACGAUCUACGGAUGAAAGCGGAGGAUCGCAAGACCUCGCGCGAAUGGAGCGGCCGAUGGCAGAUUAGGUAGUUGGGGGGUAAAGGCUCACCAAGCCGUCGAUCUGUAGCUGGUCUGAGAGGACGACCAGCCACACUGGGACUGAGACACGGCCCAGACUCCUACGGGAGGCAGCAGUGGGGAAUUUUGGACAAUGGCGCAAGCCUGAUCCAGCCAUUCCGCGUGCAGGAUGAAGGCCCUCGGGUUGUAAACUGCUUUUUGU